This 460-nucleotide ribosomal RNA is filed under the name uncultured bacterium. Its description in RNAcentral is "partial 16S ribosomal RNA". It matches the Rfam family "Bacterial small subunit ribosomal RNA", at positions 338 to 795 of the family's 1533-position model. The record is from RNAcentral.
CCUACGGGGUGCUGCAGUGAGGAAUAUUGGUCAAUGGCCGGAAGGCUGAACCAGCCAUGCCGCGUGAAGGUCAGUGCCCUAUGGGCGUUAAACUUCUUUUGUGCGGGAGCAAUAAUGGUCACGUGUGGCCAGACGAGAGUACCGUACGAAUAAGCAUCGGCUAACUCCGUGCCAGCAGCCGCGGUAAUACGGGGGAUGCAAGCGUUAUCCGGAUUUAUUGGGUUUAAAGGGUGCGUAGACUGUGAGGUAAGUCAGCGGUGAAAUGCCCCCGCUCAACGGGGUGAAGUGCCAUUGAUACUGCCUGGCUGGAAUGCGGAUGCCGUGGGAGGAAUGUGUGGUGUAGCGGUGAAAUGCAUAGAUAUCACACAGAACACCGAUUGCGAAGGCAUCUCACGAAGCCGCGAUUGACGCUGAUGCACGAAAGCGUGGGUAUCAAACAGGAUUAGAUACCCUGGUAGUC